This is a long non-coding RNA of Apis mellifera (honey bee), 569 nucleotides long. RefSeq lists it as uncharacterized. NCBI's taxonomy places the organism in Eukaryota, Metazoa, Arthropoda, Insecta, Hymenoptera, Apidae. The transcript is spliced from 2 exons. The record is from RefSeq and is a predicted model, not a curated record.
UUGCAAAUAAUAGUUAAAUUAUUUUUAUCGUUCUGAAUACAAUAUUUUUUUAUAAUCGAUAAUCGAAAAAUAAUCGAUAUAGUGUAACAAUAGUGUACAUAUCUAUCGAUUAUGUAUAUGUAUGUCUUCUGUAUUUGUAUUGUGGUUGUGACAUAUUGAUCCUCGGUACCGACUACGGCGAUCCUCUAUUUAUCGGUUCUGUGUUAGCUUUCACGGCCCAGUUUGUGCGAAUAUAUUUUCAUUUGUUCUGUAGUUUGUCUUUCUGACUGACAUUUUUUUUUCUACAUAUUUCAGAAUGAUACGAACAAUGAUGUUUAUGUGGAAUCAAAGAAAAAUAGAAAAAUAAACUUUCACAAAUGAACUGGUUAUGAUAACCUAAUUUUAAAAUCGUUUAUUUGUUCCGGAUUUAUAUCUUCAUUUUCUUACGAAACUAUUGAUCGAAGUUUGUUGAAUUUUAAUCGAAACUUGAAGCUUUUGAGUUUUUUUAAAAGUUAUACUUUAGAUAAGGAUCUCAGUUUUAAUAGUCUGUACAUUAAAAUUAAAAAAAUAAAAUCUACAAGUUAACAGAA